GCGGGCGUGGCGGAACCGGUAGACGCAACGGACUUAAAAUCCGUUGAGGGAAACCUCGUGUGGGUUCGAGUCCCACCGCCCGCACCA
Molecule: transfer RNA, 87 nt
Filed under: Parvularculaceae bacterium
Lineage: Bacteria; Pseudomonadati; Pseudomonadota; Alphaproteobacteria; Parvularculales; Parvularculaceae
Description: tRNA-Leu
Rfam family: tRNA
About the family: Transfer RNA (tRNA) molecules are approximately 80 nucleotides in length. Their secondary structure includes four short double-helical elements and three loops (D, anti-codon, and T loops).
Source: RNAcentral